AUACGUAGGGUGCGAGCGUUGUCCGGAAUUACUGGGCGUAAAGAGCUCGUAGGUGGUUUGUCGCGUCGUCUGUGAAAUUCCGGGGCUUAACUCCGGGCGUGCAGGCGAUACGGGCAUAACUUGAGUACUGUAGGGGAGACUGGAAUUCCUGGUGUAGCGGUGAAAUGCGCAGAUAUCAGGAGGAACACCGGUGGCGUAGGCGGUUCUCUGAGCAGUAACUGCCGUGGAGUAGCGAAUGCAUGGGUACCGAGCAGGAUUGGAUACCCUGGUAGACCAUGCCGUAACCGGUGGGCGCUAGGUGUAGGGGUCUUCCACGACUUCUGUGCCGUAGCUACCGCAUUAAGCGCCCCGCCUGGGGAGUUCGGCCGCAAGGCUAAAACUCAAAUGAAUUGACGGGG
Molecule: ribosomal RNA, 398 nt
Filed under: uncultured bacterium
Lineage: Bacteria
Description: partial 16S ribosomal RNA
Rfam family: Bacterial small subunit ribosomal RNA
Source: RNAcentral